CAUCACUCAGACUCUCUCCUGGAGAUCAUAGUCACCAAGAAGGUGGAGUCAAAGACUUCAAACCCUCUUUCAUUGCUUUGUCACAGGAAGAGACUUAGUUUUAAGGAUGCUCAGAGCUUUGCUAAUUUCAUUUCCCAGGGAGCUCUUGUUUACAGCUAAACAAGGAGCAGGUCUCCAUCCUAUUUCUGAUACAAGCCAGGUAGAGAACUCCUUCCCCUCCAAAAGAAGUCCAGCACAAAUUGCUAUGUGAAAUCCUGAGUGAAAGAUCAUUUUUGUGGUUGCUGGUGCUUUGUUUUGAAAGAAGACCAAUGAUAUCACAGAACAAUGUUUUGGCAUGAAGUGGAUAUAAGUGAGGCAGAGUUGCACAAAGUCAUCAGCCUCUCUCUUCCAGAGUAAUUGAAGUCCAGUGGCAAGGUAAAAAUCAAGACAACUGGCGAUGGCCUGGGAUACAGUGGAUGCAUCUUGUCUUCUUCCUGCAAAAGAAUACAUUUUCUUUGCUUAAAGCAUCCAUCUUGGGUUCUUUGGGUUAUUCUCAUGUCCCAUUUGAGUAGGUGGUCUACAGUAUCAAAGGUGGAUGAGCAGUUCUGAAAAGAGCUUAAAACAUUAUUGAAUAAAGAAAGACUAAAACUCCUAUUGUUGAGAGGG
This 645-nucleotide long non-coding RNA is filed under the name Monodelphis domestica (gray short-tailed opossum). RNAcentral describes it as "lncRNA (ENSMODG00000042200.1)". The record is from RNAcentral. Lineage: Eukaryota; Metazoa; Chordata; Mammalia; Didelphimorphia; Didelphidae.